AUCGCUUCUCGGCCUUUUGGCUAAGAUCAAGUGUAGUAUCAACCACUGAGCAACAUUAACCAGGCCAUUAUGUCUAGUUUUGCUCAGGUCUUCAUUCCUUCAUUUGUAGAUUAUUGUAACUUCUUUUUUUGAAAAUUCUUU
RNAcentral lists this small nuclear RNA (141 nucleotides) under Myotis davidii. RNAcentral's name for it is "U2 spliceosomal RNA". It matches the Rfam family "U2 spliceosomal RNA". Rfam says of the family: U2 is a small nuclear RNA (snRNA) component of the spliceosome (involved in pre-mRNA splicing). The record is from Rfam by way of RNAcentral. Lineage: Eukaryota; Metazoa; Chordata; Mammalia; Chiroptera; Vespertilionidae.